This 253-nucleotide ribosomal RNA is filed under the name uncultured bacterium. Its description in RNAcentral is "partial 16S ribosomal RNA". It matches the Rfam family "Bacterial small subunit ribosomal RNA", at positions 524 to 776 of the family's 1533-position model. The record is from RNAcentral.
UACAGAGGGUGCGAGCGUUAAUCGGAAUUACUGGGCGUAAAGCGUGCGUAGACGGUAGCGUAAGUCAGAUGUGAAAGCCCCGGGCUCAGCCUGGGAAUUGCAUUUGAGACUGCUCUGCUCGGGUGCGGAAGAGGGAAGCGGAAUUUCCGGUGUAGCGGUGAAAUGCGUAGAUAUCGGAAGGAACACCAGUGGCGAAAGCGGCUUCCUGGUCCGACACCGACGUUCAGGCACGAAAGCGUGGGGAGCAAACAGG